AGUGAACGCUGGCGGUAGGCCUAACACAUGCAAGUCGAACGGCAGCACAGUAAGAGCUUGCUCUUACGGGUGGCGAGAGGCGGACGGGUGAGGAAUAUAUCGGAAUCUACUUUUUCGUGGGGGAUAACGUAGGGAAACUUACGCUAAUACCGCAUACGACCUACGGGUGAAAGCAGGGGAUCGUCGGACCUUGCGCGAUUGAAUGAGCCGAUGUCGGAUUAGCUAGUUGGCGGGGUAAAGGCCCACCCAGGCGACGAUCCGUAGCUGGUCUGAGAGAAUGGUCAGCGACACUGGAACUGAGACACGGUCCAUGCUCCUACGGGAGGCAGCAGUGGGGAAUAUUGGACAAUGGGCGCAAGCCUGAUCCAGCCAUCCCGCGUGGGAUGCGAAGGCCUUCGGGUUGUAAAGCCCUUUUUUUGGGAAAGAAAAGCAGCAGCUUAAUACCCCGCUGUUCUGACGGUACCCAAAGAAUAAGCACCGGCUAACUUCGUG
RNAcentral lists this ribosomal RNA (492 nucleotides) under uncultured bacterium. RNAcentral's name for it is "partial 16S ribosomal RNA". It matches the Rfam family "Bacterial small subunit ribosomal RNA", at positions 29 to 507 of the family's 1533-position model. The record is from RNAcentral.